UAGACAGGUUAUUGUAUUCGACUGUAUUCGCGGCGUGAAACAUGGGAUUACACUGUUUUUAAAACGGAAAGUGAAUCAAUUAACAUAAUAGACUCCU
MicroRNA precursor from Nicotiana attenuata, 97 nucleotides. It matches the Rfam family "MIR6152 microRNA precursor family". The record is from Rfam. NCBI's taxonomy places the organism in Eukaryota, Viridiplantae, Streptophyta, Magnoliopsida, Solanales, Solanaceae.